Molecule: long non-coding RNA, 2741 nt
Organism: Felis catus (domestic cat)
Lineage: Eukaryota; Metazoa; Chordata; Mammalia; Carnivora; Felidae
Exons: 2
Source: RefSeq, a predicted model, not a curated record
UUGGAUUCUGUGUCUCCCUCUCUCUCUGCACCACCCCUGCUAAUGUUCUGUCUCUCUCUCUCUCAAAAAUAAAUAAACAUUAAAAAAAUUAAAAUAAAAAAGGAUAUUUAAAAAAUUAAUAAAUCCCAAAGGACAGCAAUGUAAGGAAGAAUUUGGGUGGAAGAAGGGAGAAACGUGUUAUCUCCACCAUCAUUAAUAGAAUUAUUAUAGCCAGGACCAUCUGGGACACUGAGAGCUUGUGUAACAGUAUUUAAUAUAAUAUAAAUAAUAUAGAUAUUGUAUCAUAUAUACUUAAGUAUACUUUAUAUUUUAUGUAUAAAUAUAUACUUUUAAUUUAUAAAUAUAUAAAUUUAUAUUUUAUAAUUGUGUUUAUAUUAAUUAUUAAUAUUAUAUUAAUUAUAUAUGUCCUAUAUAUAUUUCCCAGAAUUAAAAGCUAGAGGUAUCCAGAUUGAAAAGAUCAAGCAUGUUUCCUGAACAAUGAAUAAAAAGAGAUGGAGAACAAGACAUAUUUUCAUAAAAUUUUAACGUAUCAGGGAAAGACAAGGUCAAAAGAACCUCAGGGAAGAUGGGAAAGCAUAUCAUGAAUAAAAGAAUGAGAAUUAGGAUCCCAUUGUGCUCUUGAUAGGCUAAGGCUGCCAGAUUUGGCAAAUAAAAAUAAAGGACAUCUAGUUAAAUUUGAAUUUAAGACGGAUGAGUAUUUAGUGUAAGUAUAUCUUACAUAUUGCAAAGGAUAUACUAAAAAAUUUGUUGUUAAUCUGAUUCAGAUUUAACUUGAUGAAUUUAAUUCUUCCAGCAAUCCUACAGUGGCAACAAUGGAUGUAACUCUGGUAAGAACAUCCAAGUAAGCCUUAUUUACCUUUUCCUUACUGUAAGAAAUCAAAGCAACAAGGAGGGAAAAAACCAACACCUGCACAACACCCUGUCCUGCUAUUUUUUUUUAAGCUUGUUUAUUUAUUUUGAGAGAAAGAGAGAAAGAGAGCAUAUGAGCAUGUGCACGCAGGGGAUGGGCAGAGAAGGAGGGAGAGGGAAUCCUAAGCAGGCUCUGCGCUGUCAGUGCGGAGCCCAAUGCAGGGCUCGAACUCCCAAGCUGCCAGAUCGUGACCCUAGCUGAAACCAAGUUGCUUAACCAACUGAGCCACCCAGGUGCCCUGUCUUGCUAUUUUUAGCAAAACAGGCAAUGGAGGAUACCUGCAGAAACCAAGGACUUAAAAGUUGCUAUUAAAGGUUAAAUUGUGCAGAAAAUGCAAGGACAAUGUCAAGGCCCCUUAUGAGUAGCAGGCCUCAGAAAGUAGCAGCAAAGCAUACUUCCUGAAAGGAGAAACUCAUCCAGAAAUGCAAACACUAUAGCCUAUAAAUCUAAUAACUGAGGGGUAACGUAAGCUGAGCUUCAGCAGAAGUCACAAGUUGGGAUGCAGAGAAAAUGCACAGAGUAUCUCUCUGAGAGGGCUCCUAACAGCACAUCUCAGAAAGAUCCAGCAGAAUCUUACUCCAUGAAGGUCAAGGGCUCAUCGGUAAGUGCAAGGGCUCUGUCCUGUUUGCUGCUGCUGGUGAAGGGCCUGGGAAUGCAGGGCUGGGAACAGAAAUCCUUUCAGACUCAUCUUGGGUCAGAGGACCAAAGGGAGGAGGGCUACACAAAAUCUUGUCAGAGGAGCCAUGCUGGCUGGAAUCUGUGGUCUCUGUGACUGCAAAGAGAGGGCUUCUGAACGGUCUGACGCCUGGCAGGGAACCCUGGCCCCUCCACCAUCCAUGAACUCACCUGCAAAUAGCCGGACCAGGAAAAAACCAUGUCAUUAUAAAUUAAUGUUGAAGAAAGGCUAUGGCAGGACAUCAGCACAACGAUUGUGUAAGAGAAAAUGUGAAAAGAGCUAUAAAAAUUACAAAUGCAUCAAAGACAUUUACAGGAAAAUGAUGUCAUAGAACAGAUGAAGACACUGACCACACGUUCCAUUACAAGUGUUCCAUCUACUAGGUAAAAAUCUUAAGGAAACUAUCAUCUCCAUGUAGGAAGACAACAGAAAAUCAGCCCAGAAAAAGAUUUUUUCCCUGGAUUUUAUACAUUAAUAAGAAAUAAGCAAAUACUUUUUAUGUUUUCAAUGGGAUUUAUUUGUAUUUAAGUAAAAGUAGCAAACGUUAACAUAAGUUAUUUCCUUUAUCAUAUUUAUUUUGUACGACCACAUUUUUAUCAAGCAGCAUUAUGGAAUGUUCCCUGGGUCCACAACUCUGAACUUUCCAACUAUUAUAUGCAUCCUCUUUUCCGACUUUAAACAUGACCUUGUACACUGAAGAAGCAUGGCUUGUCAUUGCAAAGUUGUCAUGUGUGACAACCUGACAUCAAAGUAGAAGCCUCUUGAUGAAGAAUGUUUUAUCUUUCAUUCAUUUAAAAAAUGGUAUUUUUCUUUUUGUGUGAUUAUCCAUCCCAUAUGAUUUUGUUUUCAAUUCUUUUUUCUACUGAUACUAUGGAAUCAAACCAGUUAAAACUAAGGAGUGUAGCAAUAAAACCAACCAAAUACAUAUGAUGUAAUAUCUUAUAUAGGAUAUUUUAGAUGAUGUUUAUGUUUUAUAUUACACACCUGUAUUUAAUAUACUUUGGGCAAUAAAAAGUUAGAAGCAUGUAAACAAACAGAAAAAUUUUUCUGAAAUCAAUACAUUGUUUCAACAGUCACAAAAACUUGGGUUUCUUUCUUUCCUAGGAGUGCAGUGGAAUAGUUUCAUAUUAAAAUAAAAAGGUCUUGUUGCUUUCA